RNAcentral lists this ribosomal RNA (450 nucleotides) under uncultured organism. RNAcentral describes it as "partial 16S ribosomal RNA". It matches the Rfam family "Bacterial small subunit ribosomal RNA", at positions 331 to 797 of the family's 1533-position model. The record is from RNAcentral.
GUACACUCCUGCGGGAGGCAGCAGUGGGGAAUAUUGGACAAUGGGCGCAAGCCUGAUCCAGCCAUGCCGCGUGAGUGAUGAAGGCCCUAGGGUUGUAAAGCUCUUUCACCGGUGAAGAUAAUGACGGUAACCGGAGAAGAAGCCCCGGCUAACUUCGUGCCAGCAGCCGCGGUAAUACGAAGGGGGCUAGCGUUGUUCGGAUUUACUGGGCGUAAAGCGCACGUAGGCGGACUAUUAAGUCAGGGGUGAAAUCCCGGGGCUCAACCCCGGAACUGCCUUUGAUACUGGUAGUCUUGAGUUCGAGAGAGGUGAGUGGAAUUCCGAGUGUAGAGGUGAAAUUCGUAGAUAUUCGGAGGAACACCAGUGGCGAAGGCGGCUCACUGGCUCGAUACUGACGCUGAGGUGCGAAAGCGUGGGGAGCAAACAGGAUUAGAAACCCUUGUAGUCCCA